CACGUAGGGGGCAAGCGUUGUCCGGAAUUAUUGGGCGUAAAGAGCUCGUAGGCGGUCUGUUGCGUCCGCUGUGAAAACUCGGGGCUUAACCCCGAGCCUGCAGUGGAUACGGGCAGACUAGAGGUAGGUAGGGGAGAAUGGAAUUCCCGGUGUAGCGGUGAAAUGCGCAGAUAUCGGGAGGAACACCGGUGGCGAAGGCGGUUCUCUGGGCCUUACCUGACGCUGAGGAGCGAAAGCGUGGGGAGCGAACAGG
RNAcentral lists this ribosomal RNA (253 nucleotides) under uncultured bacterium. RNAcentral's name for it is "partial 16S ribosomal RNA". It matches the Rfam family "Bacterial small subunit ribosomal RNA", at positions 524 to 776 of the family's 1533-position model. The record is from RNAcentral.